RNAcentral lists this ribosomal RNA (466 nucleotides) under uncultured bacterium. Its description in RNAcentral is "partial 16S ribosomal RNA". It matches the Rfam family "Bacterial small subunit ribosomal RNA", at positions 28 to 507 of the family's 1533-position model. The record is from RNAcentral.
GACGAACGCUGGCGGCGUGCUUAACACAUGCAAGUCGAACGGUAAGGCCCCAGCUUGCUGGGGUACACGAGUGGCGAACGGGUGAGUAACACGUGGGUGACCUGCCCUGCACUUCGGGAUAAGCCUGGGAAACUGGGGCUAAUACCGGAUAGGACCAUGGUGUGGAUACUGUGGUGGAAAGAUUUUUCGGUGUGGGAUGGGCCCGCGGCCUAUCAGCUUGUUGGUGGGGUAAUGGCCUACCAAGGCGGCGACGGGUAGCCGGCCUGAGAGGGUGGACGGCCACAUUGGGACUGAGACACGGCCCAGACUCCUACGGGAGGCAGCAGUGGGGAAUAUUGCACAAUGGGCGGAAGCCUGAUGCAGCGACGCCGCGUGGGGGAUGACGGCCUUCGGGUUGUAAACUCCUUUCACCAUCGACGAAGGGUUUCUGACGGUAGAUGGAGAAGAAGCACCGGCUAACUACGUG